Molecule: long non-coding RNA, 201 nt
Filed under: Gossypium raimondii (Peruvian cotton)
Lineage: Eukaryota; Viridiplantae; Streptophyta; Magnoliopsida; Malvales; Malvaceae
Description: long non-coding RNA (GRAI_LNC010143)
Source: RNAcentral
UUCCUUUUCAAACCAAUACACACUAAUGUAGCCAAUUAUUAGGACAAGUUGGUCGACUUUUAUUCAACUUGCUUGAAGUUCUUGAUUAAUAAGUAGUUAAUCAAGAACUGGUGUUGUACAGUAUGGAGCCAUUAAUUAAAAGUUGUUGAUUGCUAAUUUAGAAGCAAGGCAUGCAUCCACAGCUUCAGCAACUAUGAGGAA